This 468-nucleotide ribosomal RNA is filed under the name uncultured bacterium. RNAcentral's name for it is "partial 16S ribosomal RNA". It matches the Rfam family "Bacterial small subunit ribosomal RNA", at positions 28 to 507 of the family's 1533-position model. The record is from RNAcentral.
GACGAACGCUGGCGGCGUGCUUAACACAUGCAAGUCGAACGGAAAGGCCCUGCUUUUGUGUGGUGCUCGAGUGGCGAACGGGUGAGUAACACGUGAGUAACCUGCCCUUGACUUUGGGAUAACUUCAGGAAACUGGGGCUAAUACCUGAUAGGAGCUCCUGCUGCAUGGUGUGGGUUGUAAAGUUUCGGCGGUUUGGGAUGGACUCGCGGCUUUUCAGCUUGUUGGUGGGGUAGUGGCUUACCAAGGCUUUGACGGGUCGCCAGCCUGAGAGGGUGACAGGGCACAGUGGGACUGAGAAAGGAGCAAGACGCCUACGGGAGGCAGCGGUGGGAAAUAUUGCAAGAAGGGCGGAAGCAUGAAGCAGCAACGCCGCGUGCGGGAUGACGGCCUUCGGGUUGUAAACCGCUUUCGCCUGUGACGAAGAGUGAGUGACGGUAAUGGGUAAAGAAGCAACGGCUAACUACGUG